This is a long non-coding RNA of Poecile atricapillus (Black-capped chickadee), 483 nucleotides long. RefSeq lists it as uncharacterized. NCBI's taxonomy places the organism in Eukaryota, Metazoa, Chordata, Aves, Passeriformes, Paridae. The transcript has 3 exons. The record is from RefSeq and is a predicted model, not a curated record.
UCCCCAAUGUCCCCAAAUGUCCCCAGUGUCACCUUGAGGUGUGUCACCCGUGUGAACACCAGGUUGGUGAUGGCCUCGGCCAGCGCCCAAUGUCCCCAAUGUCCCCAAUGUCCCCAAUGACCCCAAUGUCCCCAGUGUCCCCAGUGUCCCCAAUAUGUCCCCAGUGUCCCCAGUGUCACCUUGAGGUGUGUCACCCUGGCGAACACCAGGUUGGUGAUGGCCUCGGCCAGCGCCCAAUGUCCCCAGUGUCCCCAAUGUCCCCAGUGUCCCCAAUGUCCCCAAUGUCCCCAGUGUCCCCAAUGUCCCCAAUGUCCCCAAUGUCCCCAAUGUCCCCAAUUGUCCCCAGUGUCCCCAGUGUCACCUUGAGGUGUGUCACCCGUGCGAACACCAGGUUGGUGAUGGCCUCGGCCAGCGCCCAAUGUCCCCAAUGUCCCCAAUGUCCCCAAUGUCCCCAGUGUCCCCAGUGUCCCCAGUGUCCCCAGU